GACGAACGCUGGCGGCGCGCCUAACACAUGCAAGUCGAACGGAGCUUAGAGAGCUUGCUUUUUAAGCUUAGUGGCGAACGGGUGAGUAACGCGUGAGUAACCUGCCCUAGAGUGGGGGACAACAGUUGGAAACGACUGCUAAUACCGCAUAAGCCCACGGUACCGCAUGGCACUGAGGGAAAAGGAUUUAUUCGCUUUAGGAUGGACUCGCGUCCAAUUAGCUAGUUGGUGAGGUAACGGCCCACCAAGGCGACGAUUGGUAGCCGGACUGAGAGGUUGAACGGCCACAUUGGGACUGAGACACGGCCCAGACUCCUACGGGAGGCAGCAGUGGGGGAUAUUGCACAAUGGGGGAAACCCUGAUGCAGCAACGCCGCGUGGAGGAAGAAGGUUUUCGGAUCGUAAAACUCCUGUCCUUGGAGACGAGUAGAAGACGGUAUCCAAGGAGGAAGCCCCCGGCUAAACUACGUG
RNAcentral lists this ribosomal RNA (471 nucleotides) under uncultured bacterium. Its description in RNAcentral is "bacterial SSU rRNA". It matches the Rfam family "Bacterial small subunit ribosomal RNA", at positions 28 to 507 of the family's 1533-position model. The record is from RNAcentral.